Molecule: ribosomal RNA, 497 nt
Filed under: uncultured bacterium
Lineage: Bacteria
Description: partial 16S ribosomal RNA
Rfam family: Bacterial small subunit ribosomal RNA
Source: RNAcentral
GACGAACGCUGGCGGCGUGCCUAAUACAUGCCAGUUGAGCGCUGAAGGUUGGUACUUGUACCAACUGGAUGAGCAGCGAACGGGUGAGUAACGCGUGGGGAAUCUGCCUUUGAGCGGGGGACAACAUUUGGAAACGAAUGCUAAUACCGCAUAAAAACUUUAAACACAAGUUUUAAGUUUGAAAGAUGCAAUUGCAUCACUCAAAGAUGAUCCCGCGUUGUAUUAGCUAGUUGGUGAGGUAAAGGCUCACCAAGGCGAUGAUACAUAGCCGACCUGAGAGGGUGAUCGGCCACAUUGGGACUGAGACACGGCCCAAACUCCUACGGGAGGCAGCAGUAGGGAAUCUUCGGCAAUGGACGAAAGUCUGACCGAGCAACGCCGCGUGAGCGAAGAAGGUUUUCGGAUCGUAAAACUCUGUUGGUAGAGAAGAACGUUGGUGAGAGUGGAAAGCUCAUCAAGUGACGGUAACUACCCAGAAAGGGACGGCUAACUACGUG